UACGUAGGUGGCAAGCGUUGUUCGGAUUUACUGGGCGUAAAGAGCGCGCAGGCGGUCGUGCAAGUCGCGUGUGAAAGCCCCCGGCUCAACUGGGGAGGGUCACGCGAUACUGCUCGACUCGAAGGCAGGAGAGGGAAGUGGAAUUCCCGGUGUAGUGGUGAAAUGCGUAGAUAUCGGGAGGAACACCAGUGGCGAAGGCGGCUUCCUGGCCUGUUCUUGACGCUGAGGCGCGAAAGCUAGGGUAGCAAACGGG
RNAcentral lists this ribosomal RNA (253 nucleotides) under uncultured bacterium. RNAcentral's name for it is "partial 16S ribosomal RNA". It matches the Rfam family "Bacterial small subunit ribosomal RNA", at positions 524 to 776 of the family's 1533-position model. The record is from RNAcentral.